RNAcentral lists this ribosomal RNA (450 nucleotides) under uncultured bacterium. RNAcentral's name for it is "partial 16S ribosomal RNA". It matches the Rfam family "Bacterial small subunit ribosomal RNA", at positions 338 to 795 of the family's 1533-position model. The record is from RNAcentral.
CCUACGGGGGGCAGCAGUGGGGAAUUUUGGACAAUGGGGGCAACCCUGAUCCAGCCAUGCCGCGUGCGGGAAGAAGGCCUUCGGGUUGUAAACCGCUUUUGUCAGGGAAGAAAUCUUCCGAGCUAAUACCUUGGGAGGAUGACGGUACCUGAAGAAUAAGCACCGGCUCACUACGUGCCAGCAGCCGCGGUAAUACGUAGGGUGCAAGUGUUAAUCGGAAUUACUGGGCGUAGAUGGUGAGCACACGGUUGAAAUCCGCGGGCUUAGCCUGGGAACUGCACUUGUGACUGUACGGCUGGAGUACGGCAGAGGGGGAUGGAAUGCCGCGUGUAGCAGUGAAAUGCGUAGAUAUGCGGAGGAACACCGAUGGCGAAGGCAGUCCCCUGGGCCUGUACUGACGCUCAUGCACGAAAGCGUGGGGAGCAAACAGGAUUAGAUACCCUAGUAGUC